AACGAACGCUGGCGGCAUGCCUAACACAUGCAAGUCGAACGAGACCUUCGGGUCUAGUGGCGCACGGGUGCGUAGCGCGUGGGAAUCUGCCCUUGGGUUCGGAAUAACAGUUGGAAACGACUGCUAAUACCGGAUGAUGACGUAAGUCCAAAGAUUUAUCGCCCAAGGAUGAGCCCGCGUAGGAUUAGCUAGUUGGUGAGGUAAAGGCUCACCAAGGCGACGAUCCUUAGCUGGUCUGAGAGGAUGAUCAGCCACACUGGGACUGAGACACGGCCCAGACUCCUACGGGAGGCAGCAGUGGGGAAUAUUGGACAAUGGGCGAAAGCCUGAUCCAGCAAUGCCGCGUGAGUGAUGAAGGCCUUAGGGUUGUAAAGCUCUUUUACCCGGGAUGAUAAUGACAGUACCGGGAGAAUAAGCUCCGGCUAACUCCGUG
Molecule: ribosomal RNA, 433 nt
Filed under: uncultured bacterium
Lineage: Bacteria
Description: partial 16S ribosomal RNA
Rfam family: Bacterial small subunit ribosomal RNA
Source: RNAcentral